Molecule: ribosomal RNA, 411 nt
Filed under: Triticum aestivum (bread wheat)
Lineage: Eukaryota; Viridiplantae; Streptophyta; Magnoliopsida; Poales; Poaceae
Description: partial small subunit ribosomal RNA
Source: RNAcentral
AUGGGUAUUGGUGUCGUCGUUCGAAAUCACAGUGGGGACUGUCUUGUUGCUUGCAACAAAGUGUUUCCUGGUAUUACUGAACCAGAGCUUGCUGAGGCUCUUGCCAUUCGGCACGCUUUGAACAUCUGCCAAGCUGAAGGCUUCAUGCAUAUCAGUCUAGUGUCAGAUUGCCUCUCUAUGGUGAACAAGAUCAGGUCUCCUGUCCAAGAUCGUUCGAGUGUGGGCGCCGUUGUCUCCGACAUCAAGUCUCUGGCUGUUAGUUUUACCCACUGUACUUUCUCACAUGUCAAGCGUGGACUGAAUGUAGCGGCACAUAAACUAGCACGGAGCUGUGAGCUAGCUGUAAACUGCUUUUACCGUGGUGUGGCUCCGGAUUGCAUCCGGGACGAACUGUAUUCUGAUGUUCCUUAA